Herpailurus yagouaroundi (jaguarundi) is the source of this 780-nucleotide long non-coding RNA. RefSeq lists it as uncharacterized. NCBI's taxonomy places the organism in Eukaryota, Metazoa, Chordata, Mammalia, Carnivora, Felidae. The transcript has 3 exons. The record is from RefSeq and is a predicted model, not a curated record.
CUGAAGGCAGAGCUGGAAGAGGCAUGUCUCUUCCAAGAAGAGACAUUUGUGAACCUUGAUACAGAAGAUGCCUGCAUGCAGAUUAGGCAGCAGAUUCAACUGGGGACUGUCACCAAUUUCAGCUGCUGUCUCAGACUCAGGCAGAAGACUGCUGGCCCAGCAUCCCCUGCCGGAAGCCGCAAGUACCCCCCUCAAGCAAUAAGGACCGUCCUGCGCUAGCAAUAUCCCACCCACGACGAGGACAGCCUGACCUCCCCUGCGCACCUGCACGUGCCCACCCGCCUCGGUCCCACGUUGUCCUUAUAGAAGCCUGGAAGCAUUUUCGGCACCUUGGAGACAGUCUUUGAAACCCCAGUCCACGUCUUCCUGGCAUCAGCCUCGCUGAAGUAAAUUCCCUUCUUGUUUCACCUCCACCCGAAUCUCUGCCUUUGGAUGCUGCAGGCUGUCAGUGGCCCAGCCUGGCCUGUGUGGGGCCCCAGGGGCCCGGGGCCCUUGGCCGCUGCGCCCCCGCUGCGCUGUCCAUCAGAUUGAGGAUUCUCACAAAGCAACAAAGAAGGAAAAGCUUGUUCUUUCAGACCCAGACUUCAAGCCUUAGACUGUGAGCUUUUCAACAACAAGGUGUCUUCCCUACUCUUCCACACUCAGCCUGGAGACUGGUGCCGGACUUGGAAACAAAGCAGGUGAAGAAAAAGUGUUGAUUUCUUUUUUUUAAUGUUGAUUUCUUUUCUUUUUCAUUUUUAAUGUUUAUUUUUGAGAGACAGAUUGACAGAGUGUGAGAAG